GCCUAUGGCCAGACCGGACUGAGUGCGCCUGAUCCCAUCUGAUCUUGGGACCUAAGCAGUCCCGGGCCAGGCUAGUACCUGGAUGGGAAACCGCCUGGGAAUCCCAGGUGCCGUAGGCU
RNAcentral lists this ribosomal RNA (119 nucleotides) under Alligator mississippiensis (American alligator). The record is from RNAcentral. Lineage: Eukaryota; Metazoa; Chordata; Crocodylia; Alligatoridae.